ACGGUAUCAACAGAAGAAGCACCGGCUAACUACGUGCCAGCAGCCGCGGUAAUACGUAGGGUGCGAGCGUUAAUCGGAAUUACUGGGCGUAAAGGGUGCGCAGGCGGUUCUGAAAGUCAGAUGUGAAAUCCCCGGGCUUAACCUGGGAAUUGCGUUUGAAACUACAGAACUAGAGUGUGGCAGAGGGGGGUGGAAUUCCAUGUGUAGCAGUGAAAUGCGUAGAGAUAUGGAAGAACAUCGAUGGCGAAGGCAACCCCCUGGGUUAACACUGACGCUCAGGCACGAAAGCGUGGGGAGCAAACAGGAUUAGAUACCCUGGUAGUCCACGCCCUAAACUAUGUCAACUAGUUGUCGGAUCUUAAUAGAUUUGGUAACGUAGCUAACGCGUGAAGUUGACCGCCUGGGGAGUACGGUCGCAAGAUUAAAACUCAAAGGAAUUGACGGGGACCCGCACAAGCGGUGGAUUAUGUGGAUUAAUUCGAUGCAACGCGAAAAACCUUACCUACCCUUGACAUGUCAAAAAGUCUUCAGAGAUGGAGAUGUGCCUGAAAG
RNAcentral lists this ribosomal RNA (552 nucleotides) under uncultured bacterium. Its description in RNAcentral is "bacterial SSU rRNA". It matches the Rfam family "Bacterial small subunit ribosomal RNA", at positions 472 to 1024 of the family's 1533-position model. The record is from RNAcentral.